Molecule: long non-coding RNA, 5731 nt
Organism: Ictalurus punctatus (channel catfish)
Lineage: Eukaryota; Metazoa; Chordata; Actinopteri; Siluriformes; Ictaluridae
Source: Ensembl
UGAGCGCCGUCUAUUUACGCUGCUUCAUGAUUAUUAAUGAGCAUAAAACCUUUAAGAGCGUCCAGUGGCGGGAGGCAGGAGGGGGCGUGGCCCCCGGGGCGUCUCGUGCGGGGAGGUGAGGCGCGGCGCAGCGCGGCGCGAACUUGUUUUGCGUGGCUUGAGAGUGAGUGAGUGAGUGAGUGUUGUGCUGCGCGGCUGAAUGUCGGGAUUGCGCUUCCCGUUUGACAAGGAGGAGGAGAAAGAAGGAACAGCCGACACAGACAGACACACAGACAGACAGAGAGAAGCAGAAGUACUCACAGGUCGUAUGACAGGGAUGCGGAGCUCUGGACUCGGCUUCUUGACGGAAUAAAUAAAAGCGCGCGCCAGUGAGGACAGCAGUGACAGGAUGUGGAGAUGUACCUGAACAAACACACUUUCUCUAAAAAUACUUAACCCAGGCUUUGUGUGAUGCCUCCAGACAGCCCCAAGUAGAAGAAGGUAAGGUGUUGGGGAAAGAUACAGUAUGUGUGAAGAGUGUAUAAUGACAGCACCCAGUCACUCAAAGGCGGAGCAGUUUCAGUGUCAGCACUCAAUAGUUUAGUGUUUUCCAUUCUUGUGCUGCACAUUUUAUUGUAUUUAAGAGCAUUAUCUACAUCAAGCCCCAGGUCUGAUUGAUAAGUGGGAACGGAAAAGGCAGAGACGUUUGCCAGAAGUGAGUGGUAUUCUCGAUCGCUAUCUUCUCUAUCUGUCUGUCUAUUUAGCUGUCUGCCUGUCGGCUUGUUUCUGUCUCUCUAAAUCUGUCCGUAUCUUCAAUCUCCACUGUCUAGCUCCCUACCUAUCUAUGGUGGUUGUGUAGAUUGCUUGCUACACAUGUGCUUAAGUUGCAUGUCUUCAUAGAAAUCGAGGUUUUGCACUGAUCUGAGACCAAUUUCUAAAAAUCAAGAUGACAUUUGUCUCCGACAGCUCCCUGAUGAAAACUUGAUUGCACUGUUCCCGUUUUCAUUUUGCUUUGCUAUAUUUUACAUUUAAUAGAUCAGUUUAAUAAAAACAGACAGGAAGAGGGCUGCACACAGCGGAGAGACUUUGUAGUGCUUGAAUAAACUCUAGAUGUAUGUGCAUGAGUGGUCAACCACAAACUAGAACUGAAUUCAGUAACCCUGAACUCAGGAGCAGAGAGAGAGAGAGACAGAGAGAGAGAGGGACUCACUGAUUCAGAAUGUAGCUCUGUGGUAGGAGAGCCGUAGAGACAUUACAGAGAGCACUUUAGUCAGGUUUAGUGGAACGUCAAUCAUUCUGCUUCUUAUUAUACUUUGAUACUUACUAUUCUUUCUAUAUAUGACUUGAGCCUAUGAGGUUGUAUGUGACCUUACGUUCACACUGGAAAGUAACAUGUUGCUCGUGUCGCUUGUAGUUUGCCUCUUGCAAAUGCUGCUGUUGUUGAUUAAGGGUAUGUACUGUCCACAAUUUUCUUUAGUUCUGAUGAGAAAUGGUAGCUAAAAUGUAUAAACUAAAGUGCACUAUAUAAUUUAUACACACCACUUUUAUAUAAAAUGUGUUUAAGUUUGACUUAUGUGAUAUGUGCUAGGCUUCACACUAAUUUGUUGGCAGAGUAGCAAAGAAAAGUGAUCUAUGUAUGCUCACCAGAGACACCAAUCAUCUCUGAUACUCCCUUCCAAAGUGUAUUGUUUUUAAUACGCAUGUUCUGUCCGAAUACUCGAUUCUGAUUGGCUGUAAGGUGUGCGUUCAGUCCAUGUAACGCACAGGUAGUUCCAGUCCGUUUAAUCACCGUUCUAAAUUAAUGCGCUGCCUAUAAACAACAGUACAGUAAUAUACAGUCACAGUUGCAUACAGUAGUUAAAAUCAUUAUUAGUAGAGACGCUGCAUAGACGCUGGUAAUUCACACAUGCACAAUCUCUCUCUCUCUCUCUAUUUAAUUAAUUUAAAUAAAUGUAAUCUUAUCGCACUACCUUAUCUCUGUGUAUGAUUUAGAGCAGGCAGCAUUCUUGAUCUAAUGUCCCGUAUAUAAACUAACUAACCAGAAUUAACUGUUAUUUUUAUCCUUUCAGUCAAAUUUUGCACUACAAAUAUCACUGACAGCUUUAACUUGUCAACGCUGGCAAGUGACCACGGAAAUAAGCAGGAUGAUCCACGGUGUGAAGGUACACGAUGCGGUACACGAUUUUAAUGCACUCCGCUUCGCCUCGGGUGUUUCUUUGCUUUCACGUCAUGCAUUAAAAUCGUGUACUGCACACCUAGCCGUGGAUCAUCCCUUAUAUAUGUCUCUAUAGUCAGCUACUGAGAGUUCAUAUUAUAACAGGAUAAGAUGAAAGCAUGGUUUUAAUUUUUUCUUCAAUUUUUGUACGUGAAACAGUAAAUGGAAACUAAUUGUAGGGAACAUUGUGAGUAGAGAAUUGAAGAAACUGAGGACCACACACACCAUAGGAUUGGUCCAAGGAGUCAGUUGGGCCAAUCAUUUAAAGUCAUUGCUUUACCUCCUCGUACAUAAUUUUGCAUAGAAUUGAGAAGAUCCUAAUUCAAAUGUUGCACUGUUGCUUUGUUGCUGAAGUUAUGGCUCAAUGUCUCGCUGGUACAUUAUAGCGUGAUCGUUGAUUUGUCGCUUGCUAGUGUGAACAUAGGGUGAUCUCAUAGUUGGUGUAAACAAGCCAGUCUGUAAUUCCCAAAGCUCUCAGCCUGUAAGCUCUGACACAAUCUUACUCUCAGCCUCUUAAAACCCUCGAUACACAUUCAGUCACUACAGUUGUUCGUGUUAAGCUCCCGUGGGUUUAGUUCUCAUUGACAUCAUAAGCUUAAAGGAAAAGAUAUAGAGAACAGUAUGUUCACCCACACCUGUGUGUGUGUUUUUUGGUUGCAGGAACCCUUUGACUGUCUGAUAUUAGGAUGAAUAAUUGCACUGUUGUAAUCUUCAUUCCAUUACAUGCUGUGGGUUAAUUUGGCUUUACAGAGUGCAUUUGAAAAGGAGCAGAUGCGUUUUAUCAAAUGCUGACUCACACAUUUUUACCCACUGGCUCGUACAAUAUACAAUAGCUAAGUGUGGUUUUAUUUUUUAAUCUGAUGCCUUGAUGAAGUGACUUCAGCCCAAAAAGUAAUCAAUCAACGUGACAUUUCUGAUGACUGAGCAGAUUUUUACACACUAGUGUUCAACAUAUUCUCUUUCCAACCUCAAAAGAAACAGAUUGUUGAUUUCUGAGUAGAAAGAAGGAGAGAGGAAAAAGGACAGAGAGUGGGAAGGGAAAGGCCCUGACCCCCACCGGUAUUCCAGCCCCACACUGAUGGAAGAGUUUAUGAAACUAUAGCAGAGAGUAAGAAAGCCAAUAGCUUCUCUUAUAGAUUUACUGCACUGAGCCUCUGAGAUUAUUGAAUAUGAGUCAGAGCUGGAGGCCCUAGGAUAUCAAAUAUUGUGGUCUGGGAUAACCUGAAUUCUCAAUCUCAUCCUCAUGCUCAUUUGCUCUUUAUAUGCUUUUUGGAUUUUAAACUUUUUAGUCCAUUCUUCAUCUGUCAUUGUUGGAAUGUUAUAUACCUCUUAUUCAAUUGAAAUGUUUUCAAAAAGUGUUUUGCUUUUUAAAAUCUUUUUAAAUACACUUUAGUUGAAAACGCAUAAAUAGCUCAUUUUAACACAUAUUUUUAUAUUUGGUGUAUCAUCACUUCAAACUAGUUCUUAAAAAGUGGUAGCUAAUGUAAUAAUGUAUGGCGAGCUAGUUUCAUAUUUAAAUCCACCAAUAUAGACAGAUAUGGGUGAUUUUGUCAUUACAGAACUCAACACAAAAUCAAGCAAACUCUGCAAUAUUCAGAGGAGCUUUCAAGCUUGCAAAUGCACAUUCAGUCAAAGCUGUCUUCGAUUCAUGUACGUCGAACACGAGUACAGCUAAAAGGUCUCAUUUACCAACAAUCACUGUGAAAGACCGUGCAAAACAAUUUGGUUCAAUUGCAAUUUCGCCAGUUCAAAAAGCUCAGCAAAUUGCAUCACAUAUCAAGGAUUUUUGGCCGCAACAAUCACACAAAAAAACCUCCUUUUUUUUGUUUAGAUAUAUUUAUUGGGAAUAUACAUACAUAUGUGAAAAAUGAAAAUGCAUUAUAGCAGAAUCAGAACAUUCCCUCAUAACAAUAAAUAUAUUAACAGUAAUUAACCAACCCACAUGCUACCAUCAGUCAGAAUCUUUUGGUGCAACUAAAGGUGGGAAACCAACAAUAAAUGAUUAAAAGUAAAUGAGAAUAUUACAAUCCAGAAGUAAUAAAUAAAAAAAAAAGUCCUGUACAGACUGUAAUAUGAUAAAAAUACUUGAAGACCUUUCUAUGAUGUACAGUAUAUACACUGCUGUGAAAAAUUAUUUGCCCCAUCCAGAUUUCUUGUGUUUUUGUGUAUAUCUCAUACUAAAUUGUGUCAUAAAUUAAAAGAAAAUUUAAGAUAAAACGAAGGCAACCUGAGUAAACACAAAAUACAGUUUUUAAAUGAUAGUUAUUUAUUAGCAAAAACCAAAAAAGUUAUCCAAUACCAAUUGAGCCUGUGUGAAAAUCGCACCUGUAGUUACUAAUUGAUGAAAUCAAUGAAGCUGCAUUCAUAAUAGGGUUCAGCUAGAGUAGACACAACCAGGCCUGAUUACGGCCUGACCUGUUCAAUAAAUUAAAACUUAAAUAGAACUUUUACAACAGCAUGAAGCUGGUUGAAAGAUCUUACCCAGUAACACACUAUGCCAAAGUUGAAAGAAAUUCCAGAAAUUAUGUGGAAGAAGGUGAUUGAAAUACAUCAGACUGGGAAGGGUUACAAAGCUAUUUCAAAGGCUCUGGGACUCCAAAGAACUACAGUGAGAGCCAUUAUCUCCAAAUGGAAAAACUCUGCACAGUAGUGAAUCUUCCCAGAACUGAAAGACCUUCCAAAUUCCUCCAGGAACACAGCAACUACUCAUCCAGCAAGUCACAAAAGAGUUAAGGACAACAUCAAAGGACCUACAGGCCUCUCUUGCAUCAAGAAAGGUAACUGUUCAUGACUCCACUAUCAGAAAGACACUGGGUAAAAAUUUAUUUAUGGAAGAGUGGUGAAGUGAAAACCACUGCUAACCCAGAAGAACAUUAAGGCUCGUCUGAAUUUGCCAAAACACACCUUGAUGAUCUUCAAACCUUUUGUGGAUAUGUUCUAUGGAUUGAUGAGUUGAAAGUGGAACUGUUUGGAAGACAGGGGUCCCAUUACAUCUGGUGUAAACCAAACAUAGAAUUCCACAAAAAGAACAUCAUACCUAUGGUCAGGCAUAGGGAUGCUUUACUGCUUCAGGGCCUGGGCAACUUGCAACAAUUGAGGGAAAUAUGAAUUCUGCUCUAUAGCAGAAAACCCUAAAGGUGAAUAUCCGGUCUUCAGUCUGUAAUUUGAAACUCAAGCACAACUGGAUUAUGCAGCAAGACAAUGAUCCAAAGCAUAGGAGUAAGUCCUUGUCCUAGAAGUAAGUAAAAGACUGAUCUCCAGUUAUCGGAAGUGGUUGUAGUUAUUUCUGCUAAAAGUGGCACAACCGGAUUUUAAGUUUAAGGGGGCAAUUAGUUUUUCACAUGGGUGAUAGGUGUUGGAUAACUUAUUUUUGCUUCAAUGAAAAUAAAUAAAUAAAAAAUAUAUUGUGUGUUUACUCCGGUUACCUUUGUUUUAUGUAGUAUUUCGUAUGAAGAUCUGAAACUAUUUAGUAUGAGAUGUACACAAACAAAAGAAAUCAAAUACUUUUUCACAGCACUGUAUGUGUAUAUAUGUAUU